RNAcentral lists this ribosomal RNA (253 nucleotides) under uncultured bacterium. RNAcentral describes it as "partial 16S ribosomal RNA". It matches the Rfam family "Bacterial small subunit ribosomal RNA", at positions 524 to 776 of the family's 1533-position model. The record is from RNAcentral.
UACGUAGGGGGCAAGCGUUAUCCGGAUUUACUGGGUGUAAAGGGAGCGCAGACGGCAGUGCAAGUCUGGAGUGAAAGCCCGGGGCCCAACCCCGGAACUGCUCUGGAAACUGUGCUGCUGGAGUACUGGAGGGGCAGGCGGAAUUCCUAGUGUAGCGGUGAAAUGCGUAGAUAUUAGGAGGAACACCAGUGGCGAAGGCGGCCUGCUGGACAGUAACUGACGUUGAGGCUCGAAAGCGUGGGGAGCAAACAGG